This 490-nucleotide ribosomal RNA is filed under the name uncultured bacterium. RNAcentral describes it as "partial 16S ribosomal RNA". It matches the Rfam family "Bacterial small subunit ribosomal RNA", at positions 30 to 507 of the family's 1533-position model. The record is from RNAcentral.
AUUGAACGCUGGCGGCAGGCCUAACACAUGCAAGUCGAACGGUAACAGGAAGCAGCUUGCUGCUUCGCUGACGAGUGGCGGACGGGUGAGUCAUGUCUGGGAAACUGCCUGAUGGAGGGGGAUAACUACUGGAAACGGUAGCUAAUACCGCAUAUCGUCGCAAGACCAAAGAGGGGGACCUUAGGGCCUCUUGCCAUCGGAUGUGCCCAGAUGGGAUUAGCUAGUAGGUGGGGUAACGGCUCACCUAGGCGACGAUCCCUAGCUGGUCUGAGAGGAUGACCAGCCACACUGGAACUGAGACACGGUCCAGACUCCUACGGGAGGCAGCAGUGGGGAAUAUUGCACAAUGGGCGCAAGCCUGAUGCAGCCAUGCCGCGUGUAUGAAGAAGGCCUUCGGGUUGUAAAGUACUUUCAGCGGGGAGGAAGGGAGUAAAGUUAAUACCUUUGCUCAUUGACGUUACCCGCAGAAGAAGCACCGGCUAACUCCGUG